RNAcentral lists this ribosomal RNA (483 nucleotides) under uncultured bacterium. RNAcentral describes it as "partial 16S ribosomal RNA". It matches the Rfam family "Bacterial small subunit ribosomal RNA", at positions 28 to 507 of the family's 1533-position model. The record is from RNAcentral.
GACGAACGCUGGCGGCGUGCUUAACACAUGCAAGUCGAACGCUGAAGCUCAGCUUUUGUUGGGUGGAUGAGUGGCGAACGGGUGAGUAACACGUGAGUAACCUGCCCCCUUCUUUGGGAUAACGCCCGGAAACGGGUGCUAAUACUGGAUAUUCACUGGUCUUCGCAUGGGGGUUGGUGGAAAGGGUUUUUCUGGUGGGGGAUGGGCUCGCGGCCUAUCAGCUUGUUGGUGGGGUGAUGGCCUACCAGGGCUUUGACGGGUAGCCGGCCUGAGAGGGUGACCGGUCACAUUGGGACUGAGAUACGGCCCAGACUCCUACGGGAGGCAGCAGUGGGGAAUAAUGCACAAUGGGCGCAAGCCUGAUGCAGCGACGCCGCGUGAGGGAUGGAGGCCUUCGGGUUGUGAACCUCUUUCGCUCAUGGUCAAGCCGCAACAAUGGUUGUGGUGAGGGUAGUGGGUAAAGAAGCGCCGGCUAACUACGUG